UACGUAGGGUGCGAGCGUUAAUCGGAAUUACUGGGCGUAAAGCGUGCGCAGGCGGUUCGUUGUGUCGGCGGUGAAAGCCCCGGGCUCAACCUGGGAAUGGCCGUUGAAACUGGCGAACUGGAGUGUAGCAGAGGGGGGUGGAAUUCCGCGUGUAGCAGUGAAAUGCGUAGAGAUGCGGAGGAACACCGAUGGCGAAGGCAGCCCCCUGGGCUGACACUGACGCUCAGGCACGAAAGCGUGGGGAGCAAACAGG
Molecule: ribosomal RNA, 253 nt
Filed under: uncultured bacterium
Lineage: Bacteria
Description: partial 16S ribosomal RNA
Rfam family: Bacterial small subunit ribosomal RNA
Source: RNAcentral